GACGAACGCUGGCGGGGUGCUUAACACAUGCAAGUCGAACGGAAAGGCCCUGCUUUUGUGGGGUGCUCGAGUGGCGAACGGGUGAGUAACACGUGAGUAACCUGCCCUUGACUUUGGGAUAACUUCAGGAAACUGGGGCUAAUACCGGAUAGGAGCUCCUGCUGCAUGGUGGGGGUUGGAAAGUUUCGGCGGUUGGGGAUGGACUCGCGGCUUAUCAGCUUGUUGGUGGGGUAGUGGCUUACCAAGGCUUUGACGGGUAGCCGGCCUGAGAGGGUGACCGGCUACAUUGGGACUGAGAUACGGCCCGGACUCCUACGGGAGGCAGCAGUGGGGAAUAUUGCACAAUGGGCGGAAGCCUGAUGCAGCAACGCCGCGUGCGGGAUGACGGCCUUCGGGUUGUAAACCGCUUUCGCCUGUGACGAAGCGUGAGUGACGGUAAUGGGUAAAGAAGCACCGGCUAACUACGUG
Molecule: ribosomal RNA, 468 nt
Filed under: uncultured bacterium
Lineage: Bacteria
Description: partial 16S ribosomal RNA
Rfam family: Bacterial small subunit ribosomal RNA
Source: RNAcentral